This 253-nucleotide ribosomal RNA is filed under the name uncultured bacterium. RNAcentral describes it as "partial 16S ribosomal RNA". It matches the Rfam family "Bacterial small subunit ribosomal RNA", at positions 524 to 776 of the family's 1533-position model. The record is from RNAcentral.
UACGUAGGGGGCGAGCGUUGUCCGGAGUUACUGGGCGUAAAGGGCACGCAGGCGGUGCGGCGCGUUUCGCGUGACAGCGGAGGGCUUAACUCUCCGAGGAUGCGAAAGACGGCGGCACUUGAGGGCCAGAGAGGGACACGGAAUUCCGGGUGGAGUGGUGAAAUGCGUAGAGAUCCGGAGGAACACCGAAGGCGAAGGCAGUGUCCUGGCUGGUGACUGACGCUGAGGUGCGAAAGCUAGGGGAGCAAACAGG